AUACGUAGGGUGCAAGCGUUAAUCGGAAUUACUGGGCGUAAAGCGUGCGCAGGCGGUUUUGUAAGACAGUGGUGAAAUCCCCGGGCUCAACCUGGGCACUGCCAUUGUGACUGCAAGGCUGGAGUGCGGCAGAGGGGGAUGGAAUUCCGCGUGGAGCAGUGAAAUGCGUAGAUAUGCGGAGGAACACCGAUGGCGAAGGCAAUCCCCUGGGCCUGCACUGACGCUCAUGCACGAAAGCGUGGGGAGCAAACAGGAUUAGAUACCCUGGUAGUCCACGCCCUAAACGAUGUCAACUGGUUGUUGGGGAUUUAUUUUCUCAGUAACGAAGCUAACGCGUGAAGUUGACCGCCUGGGGAGUACGGCCGCAAGGUUAAAACUCAAAUGAAUUGACGGGG
RNAcentral lists this ribosomal RNA (395 nucleotides) under uncultured bacterium. RNAcentral's name for it is "partial 16S ribosomal RNA". It matches the Rfam family "Bacterial small subunit ribosomal RNA", at positions 523 to 918 of the family's 1533-position model. The record is from RNAcentral.